This 1138-nucleotide long non-coding RNA is filed under the name Zonotrichia albicollis (white-throated sparrow). Its description in RNAcentral is "lncRNA (ENSZALG00000006624.1)". Lineage: Eukaryota; Metazoa; Chordata; Aves; Passeriformes; Passerellidae. The record is from RNAcentral.
AGAAGAAAAGGUUAACUGGAUUGUAUGAUGUAUUUUCUAGUGGUUUUCAGGAAGAGCUGGCAUCUAUGAAGGCACUCCACUGAGGUUUUCCAGCUGCAGGGUCUCCCCUAUCCAGCACCAGGAGUGGCAAAAUCCCAUCCUUGCCUGGACUCACGGAUUCAAACAUUUACAUUUCUUUCCACUGAAAAGCAAGGUGGAUGCAUUGAUGAUGCCACUGUGUUAAUCAUGGUGUUAAAGCAGAAGAAUGCAUCUUGCCUGUGUCAGCACAAGUGAUUGGCUUGGGAAGACUAUACAGGACCUUGUAUGAGCACAGCUGCAGGUGAUACACCUAUUUCUGCAGGUAUCUACAGUUCCAAACCAGACUUGGGACUUCAGGUAACUCUCAGAAAGGAAAGUCUCUGGCUCAGAGCAAAAGCCACCCUAGGACUGUGGGACUCUCAUUCAUCUGACAGUGGAGGAAAAUCGCCCACAGGAUCCUGGGAGAGGGAUGCUGCUGCUGUGUCUGCACUGAGGCCAUGGCCUGGCCCUGUGGCUGAGGUGUGGAAGGGCUCUGCUCCCACAGAUGAAGGGAUGAGCUGCCUGCAGGAAAUCGCCUGGUUUAGCUUCUUCUCCCUGAUGUUUAUGCAAGGAGCCCAUUGCUGUGCUGUCUGACUCCAGAGUGCCCAUGUGAGGGCUGACAACCCCAAAAGUGCAGUGCCCACAUUCCCAGGGCCAAUUCCCUCUGCCUCACAUAGGCAGGCAGUGUCAAACCAGGUAAGGGGGGAAAUAUUAGAAAUUUAGCAACUUAGCACAUGUGCAAACGUGCCAACAGGCAGGAGUCCUCAGAGCAAUAAGAUAAAACAUUUCAAGUUACAGAACAAAAUAUUUUUUCUGGGGUACUGAAAUACAUGUCUUUAAUGUGCUGUUACUGAGGUUUAGUGGCAAACCAGAAGGCUGUUUAAAAAAUCCUUGCUUCAUGUUGCUGUAGUCCACAUCAUUGCCCAACAUAUCAUGAAAGACAAUAUUAUCCAGCUUUUGAAUUGGUUCAAUACCAAUUACUUUUCUGCUUCAAAUAUCAAGAAGCAUUUUUCAAAAAAAUUGGUUUUGCUUAGGUGUUACAGAAAAUAAAAUUAGCAAACAUCAGAACUCUGUCUUGGGA